GGAGGGUGCAAGCGUUAAUCGGACUUACUGGGCGUAAAGGGUGCGUAGGUGGAUGAUUAAGUUGGUGGUGAAAGCCCUGGGCUUAACCUAGGAAUUGCCACCAAGACUGACUGUCUAGAGUAUGGUAGAGGGAAGUGGAAUUUCCGGUGUAGCGGUGAAAUGCGUAGAGAUCGGAAGGAACACCAGUGGCGAAGGCGGCUUCCUGGCCCAAUACUGACACUGAGGCACGAAAGCGUGGGUAGCAAACAGGAUUAGAUACCCUGGUAGUCCACGCCGUAAACGAUGAGUACUAGAUGUUGGAUAGGUUACUAUUCGGUAUCGCAGCUAACGCAAUAAGUACUCCGCCUGGGGGAUUACGGCCGCAAGGCUAA
This 371-nucleotide ribosomal RNA is filed under the name uncultured organism. RNAcentral describes it as "partial 16S ribosomal RNA". It matches the Rfam family "Bacterial small subunit ribosomal RNA", at positions 527 to 897 of the family's 1533-position model. The record is from RNAcentral.